Molecule: ribosomal RNA, 253 nt
Filed under: uncultured bacterium
Lineage: Bacteria
Description: partial 16S ribosomal RNA
Rfam family: Bacterial small subunit ribosomal RNA
Source: RNAcentral
UACAGAGGGUGCAAGCGUUGUUCGGAAUCAUUGGGCGUAAAGCGCACGUAGGCGGCUUUGCAAGUCGGGUGUGAAAGCCUGGGGCUCAACCCCAGAAGUGCAUUCGAAACUGCAGAGCUUGAGUCUUGGAGAGGGUGGUGGAAUUCCGAGUGUAGAGGUGAAAUUCGUAGAUAUUCGGAGGAACACCAGUGGCGAAGGCGACCACCUGGACAAAGACUGACGCUGAGGUGCGAAAGCGUGGGGAGCGAUCCGG